This 69-nucleotide transfer RNA is filed under the name Phylloscopus coronatus. RNAcentral's name for it is "tRNA-Asp". Lineage: Eukaryota; Metazoa; Chordata; Aves; Passeriformes; Phylloscopidae. The record is from RNAcentral.
GAGGCGUUAGUAAAACAAUUACAUGACCUUGUCAAGGUCAAGUCACGGGCGAAAACCCCGUACACCUCC